This 250-nucleotide unclassified non-coding RNA is filed under the name Hevea brasiliensis (rubber tree). The record is from RNAcentral. Lineage: Eukaryota; Viridiplantae; Streptophyta; Magnoliopsida; Malpighiales; Euphorbiaceae.
GCAGGUCUAGACCAGAACGAAGUGGUUGGGGAAAACCAGAAACCAAGUAUACAAAAGAUGGACCUGGGGCGCCUGGAGGACAGUCGUGGACGGUGCAGUGGUUGAAAUUCGAUAAUAGUUAUUUCAAGGACAUCAAAGAACGCAAGGACGAAGAUCUUCUAGUGUUGCCCACUGAUGCUGUUUUAUUCGACGAUCCAUCUUUCAAGGUCUAUGCUGAAAAAUAUGCAGAGGAUCAAGAUGCAUUUUUCGA